RNAcentral lists this non-coding RNA (205 nucleotides) under Lyngbya confervoides. The record is from RNAcentral. Lineage: Bacteria; Bacillati; Cyanobacteriota; Cyanophyceae; Oscillatoriales; Microcoleaceae.
UACCUUUGCACAAGCUUUGGUACGAGUGCCCUAUCUGUUAGGAUGGCCUUCGUUUAAAAGGGAAUCAGGUGCAAAUCCUGAGCAGUCCCCGCUGCUGUAAGCUUCACAAACAAUGCCUUUUGCGCACAAGCCACUGUCGCAAGAUGAUGGGAAGGCCGCAAAAGCAGAAGCAAGCCAGAAGACCUGCCAGGCAAGAUUUUUUUCA